UUAGAGCUAAUACAUGCGUAUAAUCUCGACUCCUUGGGGAAGAGAUGUAUUUAUUAGAUAAAAAACCAACUCACCUCUGGUGAUUUGUGAUGAAUUAUAAUAACUGUUCGGAUCGCAUCGGCUUUGUGCCGGCGACAGAUCAUUCAAAUUUCUGCCCUAUCAGCUUUUGAAGGUAGGAUAGAGGCCUACCUUGGCUUUGACGGGUAACGGGGAAUUAGGGUUCGAUUCCGGAGAGGGAGCCUGAGAAACGGCUACCACAUCCAAGGAAGGCAGCAGGCGUGUAAAUUACCCAAUUUUGAUAUAGGGAGGUAGUGACAAUAUAUAACGAUGCCGGCUCUUUUAUGGGCUGGUAAUUGGAAUGAGAAUAAUCCAAAUACCUUAGCGAAUUCGACUGGAGGGUAAGUUUGGUGCCAGUAGUUGCGGUAAUACCAGCUCCAGAAGCAUAUACUAAAGUUGUUGUAGUUAAAAAGCUCGUAGUUGGAUUUUUGGUCUGAGAGAUCUGUUCCGCCUUAUGAGUGUGAACGGUAUUUUUCGACCAUCCUUCGCGAAGACUAUUUCGGCUCUUAAUUGAGUUCGGGAUGGGAUUCCGAUCAAUUACUUUGAAAAAAUUAGAGUGUUCAAAGCAGGUAUUAGCUUGAAUACAUUAGUAUGGAAUAAUAAGAUAGGACUUUGGUUCUAUUUUGUUGGUUUCUAGGACUAAAGUAAUGAUUGAUAGGGAUAGUUGGGGGUGCUAGUAUUCAACGGCCAGAGGUGAAAUUCGGUGAUUCGUUGAAGACUAACUUAUGUGAAAGCAUUCACCAAGGAUGUCUUCUUUAAUCAAGAAUGAAAGUUGGGGGAUUGAAGACGAUUAGAUACCGUUGUAGUCUCAACCAUAAAUUAUGCCGACUCGGGAUUGGCGGACGUUAUUUUUUGACUCCGUCAGCACCGCAUGAGAAAUUAAAGUCUUUGGGUUCUGGGGGGAGUAUGGUCGCAAGGCUGAAACUUAAAGGAAUUGAUGGAGGGGCACACUAGGAGUGGAGCCUGUGGCUUAAUUUGAUAAUAUGGGAAAAUUUGCCAGGUCCAGACAUAGUGAGGAUUGAUAGAUUGAAGAUCUUUCUUGAUUCUAUGGUUGGUGGUGCAUGGCCGUUUUUAGUUGGUGGUGUGAAUUGUUCGGUUAAUUCCGAUAUCGAACGAGACCUCAGCCUACUAAAUAGCUGGGCGAAUUUUUGAAUUCGUGAUCAGCUUCUUAGAGGGACUUUUGGUGUUUAGCCAAAGGAAGUGUGAGGCAAUAACAGGUCUGUGAUGCCCUUUGAUGUCCUGGGCUGUAUGCGCGCUACACUGGCAG
Molecule: ribosomal RNA, 1324 nt
Filed under: metagenome
Description: SSU rRNA
Rfam family: Eukaryotic small subunit ribosomal RNA
Source: RNAcentral